Molecule: ribosomal RNA, 468 nt
Filed under: uncultured bacterium
Lineage: Bacteria
Description: partial 16S ribosomal RNA
Rfam family: Bacterial small subunit ribosomal RNA
Source: RNAcentral
GACGAACGCUGGCGGCGUGCUUAACACAUGCAAGUCGAACGGAAAGGCCCUGCUUUUGUGGGGUGCUCGAGUGGCGAACGGGUGAGUAACACGUGAGUAACCUGCCCUUUACUUUGGGAUAACUUCAGGAAACUGGGUCUAAUACCGGAUAGGAGCUCCUGCUGCAUGGUGGGUGUUGUAAAGUUUCGGCGUUUGUGGAUGGACUCGCGGCUUAUCAGCUUGUUGGUGGGGUAGUGGAUUACAAAGGCUUUGACGGGUAGCCGGCCUGAGAGGGUGACAGGCCACAGUGGGACUGAGGUACGGCCCAGACUCAAACGGGAGGAAGCAGUGGGGAAUAUUGCAAGAUGGGCGGAAGGCUGAAGGAGGGACGCCGCGUGCGGGAUGACGGCCGUAGGGUUGUAAACCGCUUUCGCCUGUAAAGAAGAGUGAGUGACGGUAAUGGGUAAAGAAGCACCGGCUAACUACGUG